AACGAACGCUGGCGGCAUGCCUAACACAUGCAAGUCGAACGAGAUCUUCGGGUCUAGUGGCGCACGGGUGCGUAACGCGUGGGAAUCUGCCCUUUGGUUCGGAAUAACAGUUGGAAACGACUGCUAAUACCGGAUGAUGACGAAAGGCCAAAGAUUUAUCGCCAGAGGAUGAGCCCGCGUAGGAUUAGCUAGUUGGUGUGGUGAAGGCGCACCAAGGCGACGAUCCUUAGCUGGUCUGAGAGGAUGAUCAGCCACACUGGGACUGAGACACGGCCCAGACUCCUACGGGAGGCAGCAGUGGGGAAUAUUGAACAGUGGGCGAAAGCCUGAUCCAGCAAUGCCGCGUGAGUGAUGAAGGCCUUAGGGUUGUAAAGCUCUUUUACCCGGGAUGAUAAUGACAGUACCGGGAGAAUAAGCUCCGGCUAACUCCGUGCCAGCCGCCGCCGUAA
RNAcentral lists this ribosomal RNA (449 nucleotides) under uncultured bacterium. RNAcentral's name for it is "partial 16S ribosomal RNA". It matches the Rfam family "Bacterial small subunit ribosomal RNA", at positions 29 to 523 of the family's 1533-position model. The record is from RNAcentral.